GCGACACGACUGCAUCGCUAAAGAGCUACUGCUGUCUUCGCAGAUCCCUGGAUGCACCUGUGACUGGGUCCAAGGAACACCACCCCUGCUGAAGUGAAUCUGCGUACUACUGCGAAAGGUCCCCGCUGCUGUGAACUUGCACCCAACCUGAGGCCACCGUCAUCCAACUGCGUCAUCGGACACUUGGCGCUGUAUUGGCAAAAUCUGCGCAGACGUACACUGGACCAUCUACUAGAUAAAAGAGCGAACAUCGGAGCAGUGGUCACUUGGCAGCAGUGGCAGCGACACGACUGCAUCGCUAAAAAGCUACUGCUGUCUUCGCAGGUCCUUGGUUUUUUGUUGCCCCACAACGUCUGCAUACAGGAUCACGGCCCGGCUUCGCUGCUUGACCUUCCGUUUUCUGAAAUCCAUGGAACGCAGCUGAUGCGCACCCUGUCCGGCGCAGCCCUCGACGAGAUGGACUGGCGGGAGAGCGCACCCUACCGCUUCACUUCUACAACUGAGAUGGCAGCGAUACCAACGGCGUAUAAAUGGAGCAACUUGUCGAUCGUCGGCAUUGGGCACGGCCGCACCGCAGUGAGCAUGGCGCUCACGAACCACUUCAUCUUUCUCGUCCAGGUUCUAGCUUCCUUGCUACAAAUGCAAGCACCGUGUACCUGCGCAGAAGAAGGAAUUGCCAUGCAGCGCCUGGUCAUCGACGUAUCUGCACGAGACAUUGAUUGCCCGUAGACGACAUCUUCCAGCCACUCAUUGUGGCUACUACGCCUGCGCCGGCAUCGGUGACGUCGCAUCAUAGGCUUCUACCAGCGGAUUGCUGCAAGUACCUGCUCCCACAAUCUUCAAUGUUGUGAUCCUUCGGAUUACCGGCUCGUCGGUCUGCCCCACCGGAUGGUCGACGCUUGCUCAGGAAGCUUCACGGGUCCGUUGCCAACGAAGGCUCUAAACGCAAACGUGUCAGCCGGCGUGGACUGCUUCCUCCCCUGCUGGCCAGCACUCACCUGGCGGUACUGCGCAUGCUCCUGCACCUCGGCGACAUCUACGGGCUCGCAACAGGAUAAAGGACGAACGCCUCUGCGGUUCCACUUCAGUGGGUCCGGUGGCAGCAUCGCAAACAUGCGCUGCAAAUUUGCCUACUUCUACUUACAGCUCGCCCUUGGUCUGUGUUUUCAUGGCGCCAAGAGCAGCAUCCAGCAUCCCGGGAUAACCUUUGUCACCCCACCGGUGAAUUAAGCGCCCGUCCACGUGUGGGAUACGCUGACGUCAUCAGACAAUCAUCGGCCAAGUCACCUUGGGACGGCAACGUGCGCAGACUGUUCGGCGCAUAAGCCGCUACGAGCGCCACCACAGGAGUGGACCAUAUAUAUCCCGCACGGGCACUACAUCGGC
This is a non-coding RNA of Dermacentor albipictus, 1386 nucleotides long. The record is from RefSeq and is a predicted model, not a curated record. Lineage: Eukaryota; Metazoa; Arthropoda; Arachnida; Ixodida; Ixodidae.